Molecule: ribosomal RNA, 600 nt
Filed under: Triticum aestivum (bread wheat)
Lineage: Eukaryota; Viridiplantae; Streptophyta; Magnoliopsida; Poales; Poaceae
Description: partial small subunit ribosomal RNA
Source: RNAcentral
AUGGACUCUACACCAACUCAUCAAGCACCAUGUGGACCUAUGACAAGAGCUCGCGCAUGUGCCAUAGAAACCGAGGUGAACUCACUCCUCUACGAGAUUGAUAGGGAUGUGGAUGGAACUUGGAUGCUACCUCACCAAAAUGUGUUAUGUGUCAUUAGGUCCGAAGACGACCUCCACCAAGUUGCUAAGGAGCAUCCCAAAGGCCUCGGAGAAGGACCCCAAGGCCACAAGGAAGAAGAAGGCAGCCACCAAGAUGAAGACUGCACCUCCCAGGCGACCCCAUGCCCGUGGGCUAUCAGACAGCUAUUGGAAGUGAAGACGCGCACCCCAUGCGCACGACCUCCAGACCCCGUGCCCACGGGCCUCGCCGCUGUAGCACCCCGUGCGCACGGGCGUGUACCGUGCCCACGGGACCCCCGUGCGCACGGGCGUGUACCGUGCCCACGGGACCCCCGUGCGCACGGGCCUCACUUACCCCGUGCGCACGGUCCUCCCAAGAUUCAGCGGUGGACUUCCUGUUUCACCCUCCAACUCGCACCCCUCCUUCCUCUAGCUAUAUAUUCCGUGCCUAGGACAUUGUUUAGGGUUAGCAAAGUAUGA